GAGGGCAGAGCUCACUGGUAGGGCGCAUGUUUGGUGCGCACGAAGUCCUGGGUUCAGUCCCCAGUGCCUCUG
Molecule: transfer RNA, 72 nt
Filed under: Camelus ferus (Wild Bactrian camel)
Lineage: Eukaryota; Metazoa; Chordata; Mammalia; Artiodactyla; Camelidae
Rfam family: tRNA
About the family: Transfer RNA (tRNA) molecules are approximately 80 nucleotides in length. Their secondary structure includes four short double-helical elements and three loops (D, anti-codon, and T loops). Further hydrogen bonds mediate the characteristic L-shaped molecular structure. tRNAs have two regions of fundamental functional importance: the anti-codon, which is responsible for specific mRNA codon recognition, and the 3' end, to which the tRNAs corresponding amino acid is attached (by aminoacyl-tRNA synthetases). tRNAs cope with the degeneracy of the genetic code in two manners: having more than one tRNA (with a specific anti-codon) for a particular amino acid; and 'wobble' base-pairing, i.e. permitting non-standard base-pairing at the 3rd anti-codon position.
Source: Rfam by way of RNAcentral